Molecule: ribosomal RNA, 476 nt
Filed under: uncultured bacterium
Lineage: Bacteria
Description: partial 16S ribosomal RNA
Rfam family: Bacterial small subunit ribosomal RNA
Source: RNAcentral
GAUGAACGCUGGCGGCGUGCUUAACACAUGCAAGUCGAGCGAGUGAGUUCUUCGGAACGAUCUAGCGGCGGACGGGUGAGUAACACGUGGGCAACCUGCCUCAUAGAGGGGAAUAGCCUCCCGAAAGGGAGAUUAAUACCGCAUAAAAUUAUCGAGUGGCAUCACAUGAUAAUCAAAGGAGUAAUCCGCUAUGAGAUGGGCCCGCGGCGCAUUAGCUAGUUGGUAAGGUAACGGCUAACCAAGGCGACGAUGCGUAGCCGACCUGAGAGGGUGAUCGGCCACAUUAGGACUGAGACACGGCCCAUACUCCUACGGGAGGCAGCAGUGGGGAAUAUUGCACAAUGGGGGAAACCCUGAUGCAGCAACGCCGCGUGAGUGAUGAAGGUCUUCGGAUUGUAAAGCUCUGUCUUUGGGGACGAUAAUGACGGUACCCAAGGAGGAAGCCACGGCUAACUACGUGCCAGCCGCCGCGGUAA